This 71-nucleotide transfer RNA is filed under the name Tarentola delalandii. RNAcentral describes it as "tRNA-Trp". The record is from RNAcentral. Lineage: Eukaryota; Metazoa; Chordata; Lepidosauria; Squamata; Phyllodactylidae.
AGAGAUUUAGGUUAACCCAAACCAAGGGCCUUCAAAGCCCUAAAUAUGAGCAAAAAGACUCCUAAUCUCUG